RNAcentral lists this ribosomal RNA (252 nucleotides) under uncultured bacterium. RNAcentral describes it as "partial 16S ribosomal RNA". It matches the Rfam family "Bacterial small subunit ribosomal RNA", at positions 524 to 776 of the family's 1533-position model. The record is from RNAcentral.
UACGGGGGGGCAAGCGUUGUUCGGAAUUACUGGGCGUAAAGGGCGCGUAGGCGGUUGGAUAAGUCAGCUGUGAAAACCACGAGCUUAACUCGUGGCCUGCAGUUGAGACUGUCUGGCUUGAGUGUGGGAGAGGAGAGUGGAAUUCCUGGUGUAGCGGUGAAAUGCGCAGAUAUCAGGAAGAACACCCGUGGCGAAGGCGGUUCUCUGGGACGGUACUGACGCUGAGACGCGAAAGCGUGGGGAGCGAACAGG